UGGGGAAUAUUGGACAAUGGGCGAAAGCCUGAUCCAGCCAUGCCGCGUGUGUGAAGAAGGUCUUCGGAUUGUAAAGCACUUUAAGUUGGGAGGAAGGGCAGUAAGCGAAUACCUUGCUGUUUUGACGUUACCGACAGAAUAAGCACCGGCUAACUCUGUGCCAGCAGCCGCGGUAAUACAGAGGGUGCAAGCGUUAAUCGGAAUUACUGGGCGUAAAGCGCGCGUAGGUGGUUCGUUAAGUUGAAUGUGAAAGCCCCGGGCUCAACCUGGGAACUGCAUCCAAAACUGGCGAGCUAGAGUAGGGCAGAGGGUGGUGGAAUUUCCUGUGUAGCGGUGAAAUGCGUAGAUAUAGGAAGGAACACCAGUGGCGAAGGCGACCACCUGGGCUCAUACUGACACUGAGGCUCGAAAGCGUGGGGAGCAAACAGG
Molecule: ribosomal RNA, 429 nt
Filed under: Pseudomonadota bacterium
Lineage: Bacteria; Pseudomonadati; Pseudomonadota
Description: Proteobacteria bacterium partial 16S ribosomal RNA
Rfam family: Bacterial small subunit ribosomal RNA
Source: RNAcentral